Long non-coding RNA from Paramormyrops kingsleyae, 239 nucleotides. RefSeq lists it as uncharacterized. The record is from RefSeq and is a predicted model, not a curated record. NCBI's taxonomy places the organism in Eukaryota, Metazoa, Chordata, Actinopteri, Osteoglossiformes, Mormyridae.
AUUGAUUGGCUGCGGCGCUACUUCUAAAACAUCAGCUGAGGGAGACCUACAGGCAAACCAUCCGAUUGGCAUUCAGCUUUACCAGGACCAUGUGUGUGCAGCUGAGACUUCCUGAAAGGCAGUGCCAACGUGGGCAACGGAAGACGAGGGGUGAGGGUCCGCACGAAGCCCACCAGGAGGAAGAGGAUGAAGAAGGUGGAGUUGAUGCAGCGGAGGAAAAGUGAGAGGGGCCGGCAGGA